Molecule: ribosomal RNA, 526 nt
Filed under: uncultured Bacillota bacterium
Lineage: Bacteria; Bacillati; Bacillota
Description: bacterial SSU rRNA
Rfam family: Bacterial small subunit ribosomal RNA
Source: RNAcentral
AGAGUUUGAUCCUGGCUCAGGACGAACGCUGGCGGCGUGCCUAAUACAUGCAAGUCGAGCGGAGUUAUUCCUUCGGGGAUAGCUUAGCGGCGGACGGGUGAGUAACACGUAGGCAACCUGCCUGUAAGAUCGGGAUAACUACCGGAAACGGUAGCUAAGACCGAAUAAUCAGCUUGGUCGCAUGACCGAGCUGGGAAAAGCGGAGUAAUCUGCUACUUACAGAUGGGCCUGCGGCGCAUUAGCUAGUUGGUGGGGUAACGGCUCACCAAGGCGACGAUGCGUAGCCGACCUGAGAGGGUGAACGGCCACACUGGGACUGAGACACGGCCCAGACUCCUACGGGAGGCAGCAGUAGGGAAUCUUCCGCAAUGGACGCAAGUCUGACGGAGCAACGCCGCGUGAGUGAUGAAGGUUUUCGGAUCGUAAAGCUCUGUUGCCAGGGAAGAACGCUUAGGAGAGUAACUGCUCUUAAGGUGACGGUACCUGAGAAGAAAGCCCGGCUAACUACGUGCCAGCAGCCGCGGUA